AUAAAACCAAUUUUUUGGCCCAAUUAUUUAUUUCAAUUUCAUCCUUCUUAUCUCCCGUCAAUCUGUGAAAUUGAAAACCAAAUUUGAAAUUCCCAAAUCCAUUUAACCCUAAAUCUUUCCCCUGUGCUCUCGGCGGAGGCGGCUGGUCAGGUACACGAGGGCAUAAAUUUGGUGAUCUCCCGAUGGGCCGCUCUUCGAAUGGCCGUCGAGAAUGAGUGGGGCGGUUGUGAUACUGCCGAGAAAUCGCAACAAAUCGCCCCAAGUUAUCUUUCACACCACAUUCAAUCCAAAGGUAUUUUCUUUAUUCGUAUUCGAAUCGAAUAAGCAUGCACUCAAUUGAUGUGUUUUUAUGUCAUAAUCAGUAUGACCUUGAUUGAUUUUAUCCGUUAAAUUUUGGUAUAAAGAUUGUAUCUCUUUCUCUCCCUGUGCGCGUGCAUGCGUGUGGAUGAGAGAGACAUAUUUACAUAAAUUUUGAGGUAUAAUGAAUAAUGUUUUAUUAGUCUGAUUUGAUGCUCAGGAAAAGUAUGCAUUGAUGAUUUAGAGAAUAUGAUUGAUGAAUUCAUGCUCUCUCAACAUCGAGAUAGGGGAUGGUAGCAUUGAGGAGGUAUGUUUUCUUGGUCUUAUUUGUGAACUUCAAUUAUAUCAUAUAAAUACAAAACAUACAAGCAUAGUUACAUGCUGCAUGCAUAUAUCACCGAAAACCGUGAAAUUUGGAUCGAACUCAAGGAAAUGGCAACAGUUGAAAAUCAAUAGUUAAAAUGCAAAAUGAGAAACAGUUAAAUCCACCUGUAAAAGGUAAAAGAGUGAAGUUCUGAUGAGAUUUAAUGUUCUGAUUGGCAAUAUUUAUUGUGAAACCUUGCUCUCGGGCCAAUCAUUUUGCCUGACCAAUAUAAUUGUCAUCUACUCAAGAACAUUUGAAAUUUUGGCAGGUUUAUAAAAGAUUAAUGAUGGAUGAUCUCGUUGAACUAUACUGCUGUGGCUGGACAACAAGCAUGAUCUACAUGAUAUUAGCAUUAGAGGAUAAUAAUAAUUAUUAUUUUUGCCUGCUAGUUAUUUGUUAGAUAUAUUUCAUGUUCAAUAAAUAUCUAUUAGUUGCUAAGGUUUGAAUUUCCAAAUAUCUACUAAUACUUGUCUUUUUUUCUUUUUGUUUAUGUGGAAACUGUAUUCAGAUCAUAGAAAAGUUGAUGGUUAUGCUUGAAGAAUGUGUAGAAGGUAAAUUUAACUCAGUUAAAAGCCUAAAGGAAACAAAUGCUCCAAAUGUAUCUUAUGUCAUACAGGUAACUAUCACUCUCCAGUGACUGAACUAGUGUUCACUAUUUGGAUAAAUAUUUUUGCCAUUGAUGAAUCAAGUUUGUUGUUUAUUAAAUGACAACCUUGGAAUGUUUUCUAAGAAGAAAUGAUAAAUUUAUGAGUAUAUUUUCAAAUUUUGAUAUAAAUAUUUAUCAUAUAAGUUCGAUUCAUAUCUAGUCAUUAGUCAAAUAUGAUUGGAGACCAGUUAGAUGGUUGUAUAUACAUUUUUAGCCUCUGUUUGGUAGAAAUCAUUUGCUGUCUCUUGAAACCGACCCACAAAUAAGGCCAUACCAAAUUUAUCAACACCACCGCUUACACUCCAUAGAUUAGCCACUAUGUUAGGAGAAUUCGUUCAUAAAUACAAAAUAGGAGCACCUUCCGAGGUGUAAAGCUCAUUCAGUUUUAGUUCACCACUUUCACAUCCCAACAAUAUUGUAGCCGCACAACCAUUAAGUUCUUGAAUUUUUUUUCCUCAAGGUCAAUGCUCAACUCCGAAAUGGCAAGAUAAAAAUGAAAUCGGUUUUAACGAUUAUAUGGAAAUACAAAGUAAAAAAAAGAAAAAAGAAAAAAAAGAAGAAUAUAUACCUGGCUAUGCUUUACUUAAACUAUUUAUUUGUGAAACUUGAUUUCCAAAGUAACUUUUUUGUUAUUGACAAAUCUUGCUUUUGCUUUUCUCUAACUCACAUUCACAAGUGUUAACUUUUUAAGCAUAAUCAAAUUUGUUCCAGCUGUUUACCAUCUACAUGGCCUGAGUAAAAGAGGUCGUGGUUUUUCAAGGUUACAAUUAGCUCAUUGUUUUGGAAAAAUAUUUAUACGCACUAUGCACAGAAAAGUCGAAUAAGAAACUUCAAUCUAAUUUGGCAAAUCUUUGUUUUUCUCAUCAAGCAUGAGAAAUAAAGAACAAGAUUACCUUGCAAUUCUUUUUUUGCAAACAUUUCUCAAGUUUAACCUGUCCACUUCCAAUGCAAUCAUUGUUCGGAUUUAUUACAUAAUAUAGGUUGUGAGGAUUUAUCGAUGAAAACGGUACAAAAUUUGUCGAAAACUGCGCUUGUUCUUGGCAACGCAUGUGAAUUGUUGCAAGAAUGCUUCCAACAAAUGGCAUAUGAUAAAUCUCUUCGUUUUCUAAUAUCGACAGAUUCUCCCUUGGAAAUAACUGCGAAAAAUUAUCAAUAUUGUCUAAAUAACCUUUAGCCCCUGUUUGAGCCCCAUUAUUUUUCAUUACAUUAAAUUAAAUUUUUCUCUUUCCUAUUUUUAACCACACAAAUUUCAAUAAAAUAAUAUUACAGGUAAAUCAAAAAAUUUUCAACCACUCAUUUUUCAAAAAAAAUACUAUUUAUCUCAUUAUAAUGCCAAAUAAUGGGGCUCAAACACACCCUUAAUAAAAGUGUAAGACUAUUUAUGAUCAAUAUGAUACGAAUCAAUCAAAUAAAUUAUCAAUUAUAUCUAUAUAAAUUACUGUAAUGAAAUGAAAAGCAUAACCUAUUCAAUUCAUUUAUUCGAUUUUCAAAUAUAAAAAUUCUAAUUAAUUGGUUAAAUAGAAACUUUAAAAAUUUAUAAAAAUAUAGCAGAAAAUAACAAAGGAAAACACAUGAAAGUAAUAAAUUAAGCGUGUGUACCUGAACUUCGAAAUCUAGGACUAGAAUGAUGGGAUUUCUUUUCAUGCCAUUUAUCUCAUUGUUAUCAUGUGUUUUUUGUUUUGAACACGGAACUUAAUAAGGAUGUAGAUAUUCUUGGCUUUAUGCCAACAUAACAUCGUUUCGUCGAGAUAUUCAGUAAAUAUUUUUCGUUUACGGAUAGAUAUUCUUUCCUAAAUAUAAGGUGUUAAGAAUUUGGUCAUUGCCCCAACAUGACAUGUUUCCAAGCACCAAACCAAAAAGUUUCCGUAUCUCUGAUACAUGAAGACACAUUGACAUAAAACUAAUUGAAUAAAAAUUAUAAACAAUCUAUCAUUUUAAUGCUUGUAAAUUUGCUGCUAUAAAUCAAGGUUCCUAACAUGAUUGAGCAAAUUCAUAGUGAAACUCCAAGGUUCAGGUACACUACAUUGGGGUUUCAAUAUUAAUUUGCUCGAUUAUGUUGGGAACCUUGGUUUAUAGCAGCGAAUUUACUAGCAUUAAAAUGAUGAUUUUUUUAUUCAAUUAAUUUUAUGCCAACGUGUCUUCAUGUAUCAGAGAUACAGAAGUUUUUUGAUUUGGUGCUUAGAAACAUGCCAUGUGGAGGUAGUGGUCAAAUUUUGAACACCUUGUAUUCAGGAAAGAGUACCCAUCCGUAGACGAAAGAUAUUUACUGUAUAUGCUGAUGAAACGAUGUUAUAUUGGCAUAAAGUCGGGAGUAUCUACAUCCUAUUGAGUUUAGUGUUCAAAACACAAAAUAUGUGAUAACGAUGAGAUUGAUUGCAUGAAGAGUAGUCCCAUUAUUCUAGUCCUAGAUUUUGAGGUUCAGGUACAUGCUCUUAAUUUAUUACUUUCAUGUAUUUUCUUUUGUUAUUUUCUGCUAUGUUUUUAUAAGCUUUUAGAGUUUCUAUAAUUAAUUGGAAUUUUUAUAUUUGAAAAUUAGAGAAAUGAAUCUAACAAGUGAUGCUUUUCCUUUUAUUAUAGUAAUUUAUAUAAAUAUAAUUGAUAAUUUCUUUGAUUAAUUCGUAUCGUGUUGAUUAUAAAUAUUCUUAUGCUUUUAUUAAAGAUUAUUUAAGUAAGAUUGAUAAUUUUUUGCAACUAUUUUCAUGGGAGAAUCUGUUGACGUUGAAAAACACAAAGAUUUAUUGUAUGCUAUCUAUUAGAAGCAUUCUUACAACAAUUCACACGCAUUGCCAAGGCCAAGCGUAGUGUUCGACAAAUUUUGUACCCUUUCCAUCGAUAAAUCCUCACAACCUAUAUUAUGUAAUAAAUCCGAAUAAUGAUUUCAUUGGAAGUGGACAUGUUAAAUUUGAGAGAUGGUUGCAAGGUAAUCUUAAUUCUUAAUUUCUCAUACUUGAUGAGAAAAACAAAGAUAUGCGAAAUUGGAUUGAGGUUUCUUUGACUUUUUUGUGUAGAGAGCUAUAAUAUUUCCCUCUCCAAAUAGAGUUGAUUGUAGUCUUGAAAAGCCACAACCUCUAUUUUUACUCGGGCCAUGGAGAUGGUAAGCAACUAGCUUAUGUGUUUAAUUUUGCUUAAAAGUUAAUACUUGUAAAUGUGACUUAGAGAAAAUCAAGAUUUGUUAGUAUAAAACGUUUGAAAAUCAAGUUUUACAAAUAAGUAACUUAAGUAAAGCAUAGCCAAACAUGUAUUCUAUUUAUUUUUUAUUUUAUUAUUUUGUAAUUUUAGAGAAUCGUUAAACUCGAUUUCAUUUUUUACCUUGCCAUUUCAGGGUUGAACAUUGAUCUUGAGUAAAAGAUUCAAGAACUCAAUGGUUGUGUUGCUGCAGUAGUACUAUUGGGGAUGGAAAAGUGGUAAAAUAAAACUAAAUAGGCUUUACGCCAUGGAAGAUGUUCCUUUUCUGUAUUUAUCGGCGAGUUCUCCUAACAUGGUGGCUAAUCUAUGGAGUGUAAGCAAUGAUGUUGAUAAAUUUGGUAUGCCUUAUGUGCGAGUUGGUUUUAAGGGAUAGCAAAUGAUUCUACCAAAUAGGGGUUAAAGAUGUAUAUACAACUAUCUAAUUGGUCUCCAAUCAUAUUUGACUAAUGACUAGAUAUGGAUCAAACUUGUAUGAUCAAUAUUUACAUUACAAUUCGAAAACAUGCUCAUAUAUUUAUCCUUUUUUCUUAGAAAACAUUCCAGUGUUGUCAUUUAAUAAACAAGCUCAAUUCAUUAACAACAAAAAUAUUGAUCCAAAUAAUGAAAACUUGUUUAGUCACUAGAGAGUGAUAGUUAACUGUUUGACAUAAGUCUACGGACUAAUGGGCAAGUUAAGAUCUCCAUCAGGGAGUUAAAGAAAAUCCUAGAAGCUAUAGUUAAUAUGUCACGCACAGAUUGGCCAAGGAAAUUAGAUGAUGUGCUUUGAGCCUACCGAACCGCAUUAAAAACUCCUAUUGGGAUGUCUCCUUAUUGAUUGGAGUUCGGAAAAGUAUGUCACUUACCAAUUGAACUUGAGUAUAAUGCAUAUUGGAUAGCUCACAUGAUAAACCUUGAUAUAAAGGUGGUUGGGAAAAAGAUGAUCCUUCAAUUAAACGAGUUUGAUGAAUUUAGGUUUGGAGCUUUCUGAGAAUGCAAAGUUUUAUGAGGAAAAAUCUAAAAGAUGGCACAAUAAGCACAUUAAAGAAAAAGGGUUCAAGGUUGGUCAACGAGUUUUGAUGUUCAAUUCUCACCUCAAACUCUUUCUAGGCAAGCUAAGAUCAAGAUAGUCGGGUCCAUUCACAAAUAGAGUUGUACAUCCAUGUGGCACAUUUGAGGUUAUAUCUCAAGAUCACCAACGAAGGUUCAAUAUCAAUGGGCAAAGGUUGAAAGGUUAUUGGGGAGGUGAUUACUCCAAUGAGAAGACAAUUCUGCCACUUGAGGAUCCAAAAUAAACUUAAACGAAAAAGUGAGCUAAAAACUACUAAAAAAAAAGGCUUGUUGGGAGGCUUCUUCCCUUUUAUUUAUUCAAUUUUUAUACAUUAGUUUAGGAUUUUUCAUGUUUUGUGUUUUUGUUAUUGAAUUAGGUAUCUUCAUCCAUAACUUAGGUUUUCGAGGUCAUUCUUGCAUUCAUAUACGCUUCAUAUGUGUUUUGCAUGAAUUUGGAGCCAUUCAAAACAUGUACAAGUGAUUUGAGUGAAAAAAGUGUUUUUAGGGUCAAAUACGAGAAUUUGGAGAAAAUUACACCAAAAGGUAACUUUUAAAAGAAUGGUUGAGUUUGAAAUAAUUUUCAUGUUUUCCAUCACUUUUUAGGCCUUUAGGACAUAAUUUAGUCGAAAAUCAACGUUUGGGGACGGUCAAGGGGUCUGAAGAGUCAAAUUCCAGUAAAGGAGCAAUGUCCUCUUUGCUGAUAGCCGACGCGUGACCUUACGCAUGCAAGGCCACCAUAAAAUUAACAAGGGCUUAUAUGACUAAGUUGCGGCCGACCUUUGAACCCACCUCGAUACACAUUACAUGCACAUUGAAAAACAUUACCAAUACCACCUCUCGAUUUUUCUUCAAAUUCUUGACAAUCUCUUGUCAAUUUUUUCCAAAUUUUAUGUGGGCAUUGAAGAUUGUACAAACUACAACAUCAUUUAGCAACUAUUUCACACUAACAUCCCCAAAUUUCAAGAAAUCAAAAGUAGGCGUUAUACGUUGAAGAAUUUCAUGGUUUUGUUAGUUCUCUAUAUAUCUUGCUAUUUGUUGGAAUUUUUGUGGUUCUUGAUAGAGAACGGGAUUAGGUCAACGUUGGGUUUGCCAUAUGUGUUGUAAAUUCGUGGAUUAGACUCGUUAAUGUUCAAAGUUUGCAUUAGACUCAUUGGUUUGCACAUUACGUGUUUGACAAAAGGUCUAAAUGCAGUUUUUGUUCAUGCUUGUGGCCUUAUUUACAUUCCCUACCUGCGAACCCUCGUCUUUCCUAUCAAUCGACGUUCAUAUUAUUUUAUUAUGUUUGGCAUAUCCUAUACAAGUAACUAAUGUUCAUUUUUUUACACUGUUUGAUAAGGAUGCCUCCAAAGAGAAAUAAUAUUUCUUCCACAUCAUAGAGCAAAAAAAAGGUCACGAGAUCUUCCAGCAUAGUUUGCACUCGACUUGAUGAUGAGGUAUGCAGCGGUUUCCAACCCUUGAGCACAAAGCUAGAUUUGAUAAUGUGGUCUCAAGAUGGAAACUUGGGCAGAAUGACAGGUAGUGGUGGAAGAAUUUCUAGGGUUUGAGAUGACCCAGUUGAUUCGUUUAGCAAGAUGGGAACAAGUAGCAGGUAGCCUUACAAAGUUUAUCUUAUCUUGGUGUAAGAGUUCUACGCCAACUUUAAUGCAGAGUUAGACAUUCUGGGAACCGAACAUAUGCACCAGGCAUGGAUUCGAGACAAAUGGAUAAUGUUCUUACGAGAAGUGAUCGAUACUUACUACGGACUAACUAGGGACAAUAUCGUUCUAGUACCAAUGGAUCUAGACAUGUUAGUCGUUGCACAGAUGCUAUAUGGGAGAGACGACACAUGGCCACUUCUAGAAAACAAAUUUGAAUACCGUCAUCUGACAUACUCCCUUGUGAUCCUAUAUAACUUCAUCGGUCACAGCAUUGAUCUAAACUCACACUGCACCACCAUUAGUCAUCUGAAGGCCAAUCUACUGUAUCAUCUCGCAUGAGGUUUUAAGAUUGAUUUGGGAUCUAUGAUUUACAAUCUCAUAUGUUUUGUGGCGACAGAUCCGAACCUAAAGGGCUUAUGAUUAAUGUUAAUGAACUACAAUGUCGCCUUUUCUUCUAUCCAAGACCCUAGGUUUGGUAGAAUCUUUGCCGAAUCACUUGAUUACAAUUGGCAUGUUUGUUUAUCCUUUCUUCCUUUAUGGCCCUAUGUGUGUGUGUGUGUGCCUUUCCUCAUUUUGUAGCCUUCAUAUAAUUCAUUCAUUCCUUUCAUGUAGGCAUUUGAUACUCUUUUCACAUCAUCUGACAUGCGUGGCAUGAAUGGUAUUGUAAUGGGAUGUAAUCCAAAAAAUACUAAAUAGAACUACCACAAUGUAGGAUCGUGGCCAGGUAACCUUUUUAACCCUUUAGAUACUUUUGAUAGAAAUUUGAUGAGAUUAACUAAUAGUGAUGGUGUGCUAUUUAGUGAACUAGCCUGCAAAAUUUAACAUGCGAAAACUACUGGGCUAAGUAAGUGGCAACUUGACAAUUGAAAUUGUUUACUUUUAGUUUUUUUUAUUUGUGUUUUUUGAAAAAGUCAUUGAUAUUAAACCAUACAAACUUCAUAAUUCAUUGCUGAAGGUUUUUUUGUUAGUUCUCUUACAUUUAAGUAAUAAGAACCAUCUCUAUAGAGGAUUCUCAAUAAAAUUUGAAGACCGAUACAUUUUUGAUAUUGAUUUUACUAAGAAAUUUAAAUUUAUUACAUAUUUUGAAGUUUUCCAAAUGGUAUUUAGAACAAUUACAAUCUCUCUCUUCUAUUGGUUAAGCUUUUCCUCAUAUUUAGUUUAAUUAUGUUAGGUGUAGUGCUUCUAUGACUAUUCACAACAUUGUGUUCAAAGACAGGGUGCUCUCAAAUUGCUAGAUGAACCAUUGAACUUGCUGAAUAUUGGCUAUGAAAAAAUGGCUGACCAGAAUUAAAGUCGAUCCCCCGUUAGUUUUGUGUUCUUUUUUCUUUUCUUUUCUUUUUUUUUGUGAGAACUUCUUCGAGAAUCUCAAACUAAGUAAAGCUUUAGUGACUUUUUCUGACAAUUAUAUACAAAUUCUUGCAUAAUAGAGAAAUUAGCCCAGAAAUUCAAGAACAGCUUAUUAAACUUAGAUGAAAACUAUGAAAUGGGAUAUCAACCUUCACAUUCUUCAUUGGAUCAUAUUGAUCAAUUACCAAAAGAAACUCUUAGUUACUCAAUCUUGAGUAGAGAUUAUUUUACUUAUUGUGGAACAAAUUUGGAGACAUUAGCCCCAAUGGGCAACUAGCAAAUGAGAACUUGUAUUACUGUAAAACAGAUGGAAUUUCAUCUCCUAAUGGCGGUCUUGGACUGGGAUUGAGCUUACGAUCAACAUUGUAGAAGCAAAGAUUGUUGCAAAAAAUGUUGCUGCCUUUGGCCUUAAUUGGAG
Molecule: long non-coding RNA, 8921 nt
Filed under: Olea europaea subsp. europaea
Lineage: Eukaryota; Viridiplantae; Streptophyta; Magnoliopsida; Lamiales; Oleaceae
Source: RNAcentral